AAGCGGCGAACGGGUGAGUAACACGUGGUUAACCUACCGAGAUGUGGGGGAUACCCCGGAGAAAUUCGGGACAAUACCGCAUACAGUCUUCUGGACGUCGGUCUGGAAGAGCAAAGCCGGGGAUCGUAAGACCUGGCGCAUUUCGAGGGGACCGCGGCCGAUUAGCUAGUUGGCGGGGUAAUGGCCCACCAAGGCUUCGAUCGGUAGCCGGCCUGAGAGGGUGAACGGCCACACCGGAACUGAGACACGGUCCGGACUCCUACGGGAGGCAGCAGUGGGGAAUUUUGCGCAAUGGGCGAAAGCCUGACGCAGCAACGCCGCGUGGAGGAUGAAGGUUCUCUGAAUCGUAAACUCCUGUCGGCCGGGAAGAAUGGGCAGGGUGCUAAUCAGCCCUGUUUUGACUGUACCGGCAAAGGAAGCCCCGGCUAACUCCGUGCCAGCAGCCGCGGUAAUACGGGGGGGGCAAGCGUUACUCGGAAUUAUUGGGCGUAAAGGGCGCGUAGGCGGUCGUGUGCGUCGGAGGUGAAAUCCCCAGGCUUAACCUGGGAACUGCCUCCGAUACGGCAUGGCUUGAGUCCGGGAGAGGGGAGCAGAAUUCCCAGUGUAGCGGUGAAAUGCGUAGAUAUUGGGAGGAAUACCAGUGGCGAAGGCGGCUCCCUGGACCGGUAC
RNAcentral lists this ribosomal RNA (669 nucleotides) under uncultured bacterium. RNAcentral's name for it is "bacterial SSU rRNA". It matches the Rfam family "Bacterial small subunit ribosomal RNA", at positions 93 to 740 of the family's 1533-position model. The record is from RNAcentral.